This 486-nucleotide unclassified non-coding RNA is filed under the name Hevea brasiliensis (rubber tree). The record is from RNAcentral. Lineage: Eukaryota; Viridiplantae; Streptophyta; Magnoliopsida; Malpighiales; Euphorbiaceae.
CACCAAUCUCGCUGGUUUCCCCGCCACCGUUGUCCCUUUGGGAGCUUCAAUUAUUGGCCGAUAAACAGCGUUUGGUGGACCCACAUUGGUCACGGUUCUGAUAAACGCCUUGCUUUUUGCUCCUACUGAUGAGCUUGGGAACAAUGCUGCAAUAGAAGGAUAGUUGAGGUUCUCAGGCGAAGGCCUCUUUACCGGACAAGUCACUGGUGAUCGCGUGAUCACCUGAAUUGCUUUUGGGCUGUAUCCAUUUCCACAAAGGAAGUUCACAUAAUCAUUGUUAGUGAUAUCGUACACAAGUCCUGGAUCCAUUGCACGAUCAAGAUUAAGAUGCCCUGCACCAAAAUCGUAGGGUGUAGAUGCUUUUCCAGUCGCCUCAUCGAUCAUGGGUUGGUUCAGAUUAUCCAAUGUGUUGGCAGUGGUCAUCAUUGCAGACCUAAUUGCUGCAGGACUCCAAUCUGGGUGUGCAGAUUUAAGCAAGGCCGCUGC